Molecule: ribosomal RNA, 443 nt
Filed under: uncultured bacterium
Lineage: Bacteria
Description: partial 16S ribosomal RNA
Rfam family: Bacterial small subunit ribosomal RNA
Source: RNAcentral
CCUACGGGAGGCAGCAGUGGGGGAUAUUGGACAAUGGGGGGAACCCUGAUCCAGCGACGCCGCGUGAGUGAAGCAGUAUUUCGGUAUGUAAAGCUCUGUCAGCAGGGACGAAACAAAUGACGGUACCUGACCAAGAAGCCCCGGCUAACUACGUGCCAGCAGCCGCGGUAAUACGUAGGUGGCAAGCGUUAUCCGGAAUUACUGGGUGUAAAGGGCGCGUAGACGGUUAAGUAAGUCUGGAGUGAAAGGCCGGGGCCCAACCCCGGGACUGCUCUGGAAACUAUUUAACUUGAGUGCAGGAGAGGGAAGCGGAAUUCCGAGUGGAGCGGUGAAAUGCGGAGAUAUUAGGAGGAACAACAGUGGCGAAGGCGGCUUACUGGACUGGAACUGACGGUGAGGCUCGAAAGCGUGGGGAGCAAACAGGAAUAGAUACCCUGGUAGUC